CCCGUAACAAAUAAACAAAAAAAAGGUGCAAAGUUAAGAACUGAACUCGGGUUGGAAUUUGUAGGGGUGUCAAAAGAAAGGAAAAUAACCAGUUGCGCUAUGUUGGUCCUUCGUACAUAGCUACAACGCGAAAUAUAUAUUAUUUAAGGGGUGUCACCUACUGUCCACAUAGAUCCGCCACUGGGAGCACCUGCCAGACUUCAACUAAGAGAAAAAAAAACUCUCUGAGAUAUCCAUUUCAGGAGAAUAAUUCUACUAAGAAAGAUUGAGAAUAUGGAUUUGAGAGGAGCAAGGCUACCUUUAUAUACUCGCAGAUACACCGCUUUGCUCAAAAGAAACUUGCAUUAAAAUCUAGAUCGUGGUUGAUGGAUUUAAUAAGAGGCUUAACGGGAUAAAUCUGUAAUGGGAGCAUUUAUGUUGAAGAAGACGAAGAUCAAACGUCAAAAUCGAAACCCCAUCUCAAUUUUCUCUAACGCCGGAAAAAAAAGAAGGCGAUGAACCCUAAUUUACAAAACGACAUUGUUUA
This 526-nucleotide long non-coding RNA is filed under the name Brassica napus (rape). RNAcentral's name for it is "long non-coding RNA (BNAP_LNC012326)". The record is from RNAcentral. Lineage: Eukaryota; Viridiplantae; Streptophyta; Magnoliopsida; Brassicales; Brassicaceae.